AUGAACAUCGCCCUCCUGACCCGGUGGCUGUGGCGCAUCGCCAAUGGGGACAGAGGCCUGUGGCUCACCAUCAUCCGCAGCAAAUAUCUUCGUGGUCAGCCCCUAGCUUUCUGUCAACGGUCGGGCGGAUCCCAGUUCUGGCAGGCCGUCGUGCAGUUGCUCCCCGUGCUUCGUAUCGGCACGUCCAUCUCGGUUGGAACUGGGUCCGCGACCCUGUUCUGGUUCGAUCGGUGGCUCGGUGACACCCCUCUGGCCGCCCUCUUUCCUGCUCUCUUCGCCAUUGCUGUUGACCCUCGGGUCUCCGUUGAGACGGCCCUUAUUGACUUAGGGCGCCUCGCAUUCCGUCGCCCUUUCGGGCCCCUUGAAGUGGCCGCCUGGGAUUCUCUACUCCAGGACAUCGCCCUUCUCCCGAUGCGCGUUACUGACGCCCCGGACGCCUUCUCGUGGCGCCUAGAGGCCUCCGGCCGUUCCUCUACGAGAUCCCUCUAUGCGGCCAUCGCGCCUUCGCUCGCCCCCGAGCCCUUUGGGCUCAUUUGGGACAUCCGGUUGCCUCUGAAGAUUCGGAUAUUCCUUUGGCAGUGGAUUCGUGGCCGCCUCCCCUCGGGUGUCGAAGUCCUCAAGCGCAACGGACCCGGAGAUGGGCUCUGCCCUCUGUGCGGCACCGCGGAGGAUGCUAACCACAUCUUCUUCACGUGCCAUGCGGCACAGUUUCUCUGGUCCUGCUUCCGCGAGACGGUUGGUGGACAAUGGUGCAACUCCAACUUCCCCGACCUCCUUGCGGAAAUCCACAACUCCCCUCCCCGCCACCGCCACAUUCGCUGGCUCUGUGUUGGAGUUCUCGCAUGGACGCUUUGGACCGUUCGCAAUAAGCUCGUCAUCCAGAAAAUCCCUCUUCGUCGCGCUACUGACGCCAUUUUUAAAAUGUGUGGGUACUUGCAGCUUUGGCGGCCGCUUAGCCGCCCUCAGGACCGGGACGUCAUCAACACCCUCCUCGCCGACCUUCGAUCGCUCGCCUUCCGCCUGGCGCCUCCACUUCCGCCGCCACCGCCGGAGCCUGACUAG
RNAcentral lists this ribosomal RNA (1062 nucleotides) under Triticum aestivum (bread wheat). Its description in RNAcentral is "partial small subunit ribosomal RNA". Lineage: Eukaryota; Viridiplantae; Streptophyta; Magnoliopsida; Poales; Poaceae. The record is from RNAcentral.